RNAcentral lists this unclassified non-coding RNA (2509 nucleotides) under Dimorphilus gyrociliatus. RNAcentral's name for it is "dgyrCDS12455". Lineage: Eukaryota; Metazoa; Annelida; Polychaeta; Dinophilidae. The record is from RNAcentral.
AGUAAGCGGCAGGUUGUUGCCGAGCUUGGAUUAUGGAUAAACAUUUGGCGUUACUGACUGGAUUUUUAGUUUUAUUUGGAUAUAAAGUUAAUCCAGUAGAUGCUUUCUUAAAGAAUCCGCAAAGUCUGAAUAUUUCUAUGGAUUACAAUGCAUCGCAAUUAACUCUUUCGGAAGAGAGCCGAAUCAGUUUCCAUUUAAUGGAACGGUACAAAAAGGUUGGAAAUAUUGCAAGACCAGUAGAAAAUGCUAUGAAGACUGUAAAAGUUGAAUUUGGAUUAGCAUUGAUUCAAAUUUUAGACUUUGACGAAACAAAUCAAGUAUUGACAACAAAUGUUUGGAAAAGAUAUAUAUGGCUGGAUGAAAUUCUUCGUUGGAACCCUUCGGAAUUUGGAAAUAUAUCCAAUAUUCGCUUACCAGCACCUAAAAUUUGGACACCGGACAUAGUUCUAUACAAUAACGCUGAUACCCAAGAAAAACAACACCUGGAAUCAGUAACGGUUGCUCACUUUGGUCUUGUUAGAUGGAUUCCCCCGGCAAUUUACAAGUCCAGUUGCCAGAUCGAGAUGAGAAAUUUCCCCUUCGAUACCCAAACUUGUUUCUUCAAAUUUGGUUCCUGGGUGUAUGAUGGGCAUAAAUUAGAUCUCGUGUUUUAUGAAGGAAGAGACGAUGUGGACUUGAGAGAAUAUGUUGAGAGUUCCGAAUGGAAUGUUGUUUGUUAGUAAUUUUUCAUAUGAAAAAAAAAAGAAUUUAGGAACUCUUUUGUUUUUUAAUGACAAAGCUUAUUGGUUACAUAUAUCUAUUCUAUUUUAGAUACAUCCGCAAAACGAAACGUUCGUACAUAUCCCUGUUGUGAUGACGAACCGUAUCCUGAUUUGACGUUUCGACUGACAGUGAAAAGAAAAACAGCAUUUUACAUGUAUGUGCUCAUACUGCCCAGUGUAAUGCUUUCGUUUCUCACAUUGGUUCUAUUCUGGAUACCUCCUCAGAGACCCGAUAGAACUAGCUUGGGUAAGUUUCUAGAUUAAUAAUAAUUGUAAUUUUUGUUAACAGUACGUCUAUUAUUCGCUUUUCUUUAAGGAAUGAGCCUAUUUUCAAGUUUUUUUGUUCUUCUCCUCAUUCUCGUACAAAGUUCGCCACCUACUGCAUCGAUUUCCCUUCUGGGUGUCUAUUACUGCUUGAAUAUGGUGCUCAUAGCCAUAUCAACCAUGGUUUCAGCACUAGUAAUUAAUCUGACAUAUUAUUUACAAAGGAGAAAACUCCCAUUUUUAAUUAAAGCCGUAAGCGAUUUCAAAUUAUUGAUCUUAAAUGACAAAAUGACAAAAUGACGGAAUUUUUAACCUAAGAAUUACAUAUAUCAGAUUUUUGUUCAACACCUCGGUCGACUAUUAUGUGUAAGCAGAAACAGUUUAGCUGAUGAACCGAAUGAAAUAAACAAACGUACAAGUAGUUUUACUGAGCAAAGUUUCCCUCUACGGAAUGGUAAAGCGAGCGAACAAACCCUAUCGAAACGCAACGAUUGGAAAAUUUUAGCAUCCGUUAUUGACAGGUAUACGCUACUUUUCAAUUUCCAAUCAUUCACUAAAUUCUCGACUUUUUUAUAUUACAGGCUUUUUUUUAUAAUUUAUACGAUUGGUUUGGUUUUAUCCUUAAUUUUCGUCUUCCCCCGUUAGUCUAGGCGCCAUCUAUCGUUUUUUCAAAUAUAAAUAGUUUAAACAGAGAAUAAAAUAUAUCAGCCUUGUAUUUUCAUAGUUUAAAAUAGUUUUAUUUUUCUAAUGCAAAUUCAGGAGUGAAUGACAACAUAAAAACCGCAAAAGCAGUUAAGCGGAUAAAAGUUUUUGAAUUCCAAUAGCUGUAAACAAUUAGAAGUUCAAUCUUACAUUCCUCCUCUCAAACGCAAUACCAAAUGAAGGGUCGAUUCUUUUUGGAUGUUGUAGUCGGACAAUGUUCUACCAUCUUCCAAUUGUUUACCAGCAAAGAUCAAUCUUUGUUGAUCUGGGGGAAUUCCUUCUUUAUCUUGGAUUUUAGCUUUCACGUUUUCGAUCGUGUCUGAUGGUUCGACUUCCAAGGUGAUUGUCUUUCCAGUUAAGGUCUUGACGAAAAUUUGCAUUCCUCCUCUCAAACGCAAUACCAAAUGAAGUGUUGAUUCCUUUUGGAUGUUGUAGUCGGAUAAUGUUCUUCCAUCUUCCAAUUGUUUACCAGCGAAGAUCAAUCUUUGUUGAUCUGGGGGAAUUCCUUCUUUAUCUUGGAUUUUAGCUUUAACAUUCUCGAUUGUGUCUGAUGGUUCAACCUCCAAGGUGAUUGUCUUUCCAGUUAAGGUCUUGACGAAAAUUUGCAUUCCUCCUCUCAAUCUUAAAACCAAAUGAAGGGUCGAUUCUUUCUGAAUAUUAUAGUCGGACAAGGUUCUUCCAUCUUCCAAUUGUUUGCCAGCGAAGAUCAAUCUUUGCUGAUCUGGGGGAAUUCCUUCUUUAUCUUGGAUUUUAGCUUUAACAUUCUCGAUUGUGUCUGAUGG